CCCGCUGAACUUAAGCAUAUUAAUAAGCGGAGGAAAAGAAACUAACAAGGAUUCCCUCAGUAACGGCGAGUGAAGUGGGAAAAGCUCAAAUUUGAAAUCUCAAAGACAUUGAAAUCUUUUUGUCUUUGCGAAUUGUAAUUUGAAGAAGUGCGUUAAUUAGUAACAAUAAUUUUUAGAGUAUAAGUCUUUUUGGAACAAGGCAUCAUAGAGGGUGAGAAUCCCGUCUUUGACUCUAUUUUUGUUACAUUAAAAAAAGUUCGCACUUUCAAAGAGUCGGGUUGUUUGGGAUUGCAGCCCAAAAUGGGUGGUAAGUUUCAUCUAAGGCUAAAUAUUGGCGAGAGACCGAUAGCGAACAAGUACCGUGAGGGAAAGAUGAAAAGUACUUUGAAAAGAGAGUUAAAUAGUACGUGAAAUUGUUAAAAGGGAAACGCUUGAAACCAAUGUAUGCUGUUGACAAAAAUUCAGCUGGAAGAUUAUAUUUUUGUGUAUAACGGUAGAGCUUAAUUUUUCAUUUUGGGCCUGUGUUAUGCAUUUUAAGAUUUAAUCGGCCAGUGCACUUUUUUGUCUAACAGGUCAACAUCAAUUUUAUUUGCUGGACAAAACUUUUUUUUUGGAAGGUAUCUCUGUUUCUCCUUUUUUUUGGGGAGACAUGGAGAGUUAUAGCCGUAAAAGUCAAUACAGUGAUUAAGAUUGAGGAUCGCAGUGCGAGCCAAAAAUUUGGCGGGGUAAUUCUAUUGCUGUUAGCUAAUUGUUUUAUAGUACAAACAAAAAGAAAAUAAAUUUUUUUUUUUUGUUUGGCUAUAGAUAAUUUUUGCUGACACACAGUGGAUAAACCACCUUCGCGCUUAGGAUGUUGACAAAAUGGUUUUAAACGACCCGUCUUGAAACACGG
Molecule: ribosomal RNA, 892 nt
Filed under: uncultured fungus
Lineage: Eukaryota; Fungi
Description: partial 28S ribosomal RNA
Rfam family: Eukaryotic large subunit ribosomal RNA
Source: RNAcentral